UUGAACGCGAAGAACCUUACCUGGUCUUGACAUGUACGGAAUCCUCCAGAGACGGAGGAGUGCCUUCGGGAGCCGUAACACAGGUGCUGCAUGGCUGUCGUCAGCUCGUGUCGUGAGAUGUUGGGUUAAGUCCCGCAACGAGCGCAACCCUUGUCAUUAGUUGCCAUCAUUAAGUUGGGCACUCUAAUGAGACUGCCGGUGACAAGCCGGAGGAAGGUGGGGAUGACGUCAAGUCCUCAUGGCCCUUAUGACCAGGGCUUCACACGUCAUACAAUGGUCGGUACAGAGGGUAGCCAAGCCGCGAGGUGGAGCCAAUCUCACAAAACCGAUCGUAGUCCGGAUUGCACUCUGCAA
RNAcentral lists this ribosomal RNA (354 nucleotides) under uncultured bacterium. Its description in RNAcentral is "bacterial SSU rRNA". It matches the Rfam family "Bacterial small subunit ribosomal RNA", at positions 955 to 1310 of the family's 1533-position model. The record is from RNAcentral.